CAAAAGGCUAAAGCAAUGCUUAGCAUGGCAAAACAACAUUAUAUGUGGUUUUUUAUUACAGGUGUGUCUGUCUGGUCCAGCCAAUUUGUCCAGUCCAUGCUUGAAACGAGGAGUGUGGAUUAAGGGAAGAAAUAGACAAGAAACACAAGAUGGAGUCGGAAGGACAUCCCAUAAAUACGAUAAUCAGCCCCAAGUUUAUUGCUCUAAGUUCUUAUAUACCCCAAUCAAAGGGGGGAAGGUAAAAAUCUUCCUUACCCCUGCUACAAGAAACAAGCAAAUGUAAUUACCUCCUUAAAACCCAAAACAUCAAGUAACCACACCCUAAGCCAAUUAUCCUAUUGUUUAGGUAAGACAUCCAUUAUCUACACCUUCAGCCAGAUAUCCUGUUGUCUAGGCAAAACAAUAGCCUCACCAUAGACCAAACACAUUGAGGUUUAACUUUGAAGGAACAAGAACAGACUUGAACUCUAUGACCUUAAGCCAAGAUGGAACGGAGCCACUUCUAUGGGCCUCCACACAGGUGUGCCUUUUAUUCCACCCUGACCAAAAACUAAUUGGAUUUUGCAUUUACAAGCUGAGAACAUGUAAUACACUCAGUAGAUAUAUCAGCAUCAUUUGGGGUCAGUAGUAUUGUGUCCUCGUUGUUUCCCCCAAGCUCUUGGCUUGAUGAGUGAAAAUCCUUAUGGUUCCCUAAGUUAUCAGCUUACUUUUCCACAUGGAAAAAUGUCUCUUCUUGAUGUAUUUGUCAUCUAUCUUCAGACAUUUCCUUUACCCAGUGGUCUCCAGGACGUUGUCCUGGUUGGAUAUAUUGAAGUGACAGACAUCCUGGGACUUCAUUCCUUUUAUUGAAAGGACACAAACAUAGCCUUGCCCUAAUGUUAAAAGAACAUGUAUUCCUUUCCAUUAAUUAGUUUCUAGAUCUUUCUUGUUGCAUGAAAAAUAAAAGACCCAGAGACAGAUAUUGGGGUUCAAGCUUCAAGCUGAAGAUCAGAGAAGCAAUGCAGCCAAGCCAGUAGAUCUUAACCCUAGCUGAAAUGGCAAUCCUGUCUCCAUGAAUCCUCAGAGGCAAAAGCUCCCAGUUCCUGUCUCCUGCUCCUUUUAUUCCUUUCUCUGCCCAUCCAUAUCACUCCUGUCUCCUCCUUCCUAGUGCUGGGAUUAAAGGUGUGUAAUCCCAAGUGAUAGGAUCAAAGGCGUGGGCUCUGUUAUUCUUUUAGACUGAUUCAAUCUUGUGUAGGUAUGGGUGGCCUUGAACUCAGAGAGACCCAUCUGCCUUUGUCUCCUGAGUCCUGGGACUAAGGAUGUAUGUCAACACUGCCUGACUUCUAUGGCUAACUAGUAUGGCUGCUUUUCUAUUUUGAUCUCUAGUGGCUUUAAUAAAUUAGGUUGUUGUCUCCUUUAGGGCAAAAAUGCUUCUGAGCUAAAGAAGAAUCAUUAUCCUGCUACCAAAAGUUCAGCUCCCAACUCAUGUGGAGACCACUUCUCAACCACAGGGCACACUAGCCAGAAGACCUGAGACAAAACAGAAACCAAGGAACAAAACACCCACCCAACAAAGACAAAUGCAGAAAUUAGCACCUAGUCCUAUAAUGACUUCAAACCCAAAUGACUAGACUCCAGCAUAAGAAGACAGUCAAAAACAGUCAAAAACAGUCAGGGGAAUAUGUCAUCACCAGAGCUCAACUAUCAUAACACAGUAGUCCUAAAUAUUCCAACAUAGCCAAAGCAAAAGAAAAUGACCACAAAACCAACUUUACAAUGAUGAUAGAGAUCCUUAAAGAAGAAAAUAAUAAAUCCCUUACAAAAAGCCAAGAAAAAAAAACAAUUGAAGGAAACAAAUAAAGCUGUGCAAGACCUGAAAAUGGAAAUAGAAGCAACAAAGAAGGCACAAAGUGAGGGAAUUCUGGAAAUGAAAAAUCUAGGUAAAUGAACAGGAAAUACAGACAUAAGCUUUGCCAACAGAAUACAAGAGAUGGAAGAAGAAAUCUGAGGCAUAGAAGAUACAAUAGAAGAAAUAGAUUCAUUGGUCAAAAAAAUUGGUUAAAUCUAAAAAAUUCAAGACACAAAACAUCCAGGAAAUCUGGGACAUGAUGAAAUGACCAAACCUAAGAAUAAUAGAAAUUAAAAAAGAGGAAAAUCCCAGCUCAAAAGCACAGAAAAUAUUUACAAAAAAAUCAAAGAAGACAGGAUCCAUCCUUCUGCUGCAUACAAGAAAUACACCUAAACAUCAAAGAUAGACAUUACCUCAGGGUAAAGGGUUGGAAAACGAUUUUCCAAGCAAAUGGACUUAAGAAGCAAGCAGGUUUACCUAUCCUAAUAUCUAACAAAAUAGACUUCAAACUAAAAGUAGUCAAAAGAGAUGGAGAGGAAUGCUACAUAUUCAUCAAAGGAAAAAUUCACCAAGAUGAUAGUUCAAUUCUUAACCUCUAUGCCUCAAAUUCAAGGGCACCCAUAUUUGCAAAAGAAAAUUACUUAAGUUUAAAUCACACUUUGACCCUCACACACUGAUAGUGGGAAAACUAAGUCAAAACCUAAGGAAGGAAAUGCUGGAGCUAACUGGAUGAUGCAACUGGAAACAACCUAGAUGUCCCUCAACUGAAGAAUGGAGAAAAAAACUGAUAGACUUUUAAAAAAAUAUAUCAUUAAAUUUACCCAGGCAAAUGGAUACAACUAGGAAGUAUCAUCUUGAAUGAGGUAACCCAGACCCAGAAAGACAAACAUGGCAUGUACUCACUCGUAAGUAGAUAUUAUCAGUUAAGUAAAGAAUACUCAUGCUAAAAUCCACAGGUUCAUAAAGGCUAAGUAACAAGGGGAUAUGGAUAUGGAUUUCACCUGGUCAGGGAAAAUAGAAUAGAUCAUUUCAGUGGACUGAGAUUUGGUGGCUAUGGAGAUAGGAGGAAUCAGGAUGGAGGGAGAGAGUGCAAGGAGGGACAACUGGCACCGGGGGGCAUUGGGGAAAUGUACUGCAGUGGAAACUCCCUACAAUCUACUAUGGUGACCCUAGAUAGAACUCCUCAUAAUGGAGGAUAUAGAGUCUGAACUGUCUACCAUCCGUAGCCCUAACCUAUAUGUUGGGAGCCAUACAGCUUGGCAUGGAUGAACCUUUAGGCCGAACUUGGCCAGACACACGGCUAUGGAACUGUCUUUUGAUUAUAAAUGGCUUCUAGAAGCAUGAGCACCCAGAAGGAACAACAUGACCCAGAUGUCAAUCCUUUGUUCCAACCCACAGGCCCACUUACCUAGGCAACCCUCCCUCACCCCAACAUCCAUGAACUUUGUACCCUGCCAACAUCCUCCUUCUAUAGUUUUCCUACCUUCUGCUUAAACUAACACCUGGUUCUUGGCCUCUUCUCCUCCUCCCCUCUACCCCACUCUACUGACUACAUAAGCUAGCCUGGGAAAAAUAAAAUUUGCCACUUGAUCAGAAUCCUGUCUUGUGGUCAUUCUUUCUUCGUCUAUUGUCUCUAGUCCCCUCCUUGGACAUCUUGCCCUAGGUUGCUGUCCUGAGGGUUGGGACAAAUACACCUAUAGAUGAUGAGGUCAGUUAAAAUAUCCAGUGGUUGAGAAAUAGCUAAUAAAAGCUGAUUAAUAAGACUUCAGACAGAUGAGCUCUAACAUCAGGGGUGGUUACAAAGUUUUUGUGGAGUAUGUGGAAUUUGUAUAUAAAAUAUAGCUCCUUGUCCUUUUGCAGAACCAUCUGUAAAAGCAUUAGAAAUGAUCUCUAUAAACUUUUUAGAUUUAACUUUUUAGCUUUAGAGUUAAGCAACAGCCAUGGGGUUUCUUUAAAAAUCUUAAAGGGAAAUCUUCAAGAUAAGAUCAUCUAUGGAUUCUGAGUAACCAGCUAACACUAUCUGCCAAUUUGUCUCAGUGUCACAAAUAACAGACCUGCACUGUAUUUAGUGGUAGCACGAUUUCUGUAGGCUCUUUACCAGUAGGUGGCGUACAGUGCGGAGGAUGGGGUGAGGUGAGCUGGGAUAGGGUGGAGCCACCCUCCACUCCUGGGAACUUAAGAAAGGGCCAUGGAACCCGGACUGGAAGUUUCAAUAAGCUUGCCUUUCCUCCCUAGCAACAACAGGGCCGAGUGUCUGAUGAACAAGUGGAGAAAAAGACAGAAUCUGGAGUGUUCCUGAGGGCUCAGCUGCUAAUGGGACUGAGAGGAUAGUGGUCCCCAGGGAGGGAGGGCCAGCGCCACAGGGAAGCGGAGUGCGCCCUGAAGAGAUGUAAAGAUGGGAAGUAGGAAUUACGUGGUUGGAGCAUGAGGGAACCAUCUGAAUUCACAGCCCAGAUGCCUGGAACUUCCGUGAAUCUCUGAGCAGGAUCCUCUGCAAAGUGGUUCUGAGGUCUUCCUUCUCAGCUGCAGUCACUCCUGUUACCUGGUCUCCUGAGAGAACCUUGGCAAAGGCUGCAGCAAUCCUUCCACCCUGGCUCUGUGCCCUUUGUCUCUAUUGAGCUGUCUGUGGUGCAUGCUUCUGGCCAGUGAGUUGCUAGGAUCUAACUGGAAGGCGGGGUGUGGUGGGGGAACCACGGACAGGACGAUGAGCUGCUGAGCUGCGGGGCUACUCCUCCUCCUCCACUGCCACCAAGCCACUCUGGCGGGCUCCAGCUCUUCACGCUGCAGCUUCCUCACCCAGGCUUCAGUGAAUUGGCAAAGUUACUGUGGGAGGACAGCACAGGGGCUACAUGAAUGAGAAGGACAAGGUGACACAGGGGAGUAAGUAACUGGUGGCCCCCUCAGCCCUACUGGGGUCCGCAGGAAGACGAAACCAAGUCACCAGAACGGGAUAUGAUUGGCACAGUGCGGGACCCCACCAGGCGGGGGUCUCAGACUUCUCCUCUGGACCUAAGGCAUGUUCUAAAGAGUGCCUUUCCCUGGGAUUCCUCACAAGCCUUCUACUGUUCCCCAAUCUCUUUGCCCUUGAGCUUAAUUUCCCACCUUCAUACUAUAUAUUAUCAUCAGAUCAUAAUAAAUAUUUCCAGGGCCAAGACCACCCACGUACUCGUUUUUUCUUUGCCUCCUUUGUUGUCAUUGUAUUUUAAGGCAGGGUUUCACCCUUUAACACACAUCUUAGAAUUUGCAGCACUUUCUUCUCUCCCUCUCCUAUCCACAAAGUGCCUUUUACCUUCUCUUCCACCAGGUGGCAAUCUGUGUUCACGACUGAAGAUGCCUUAGCUAAUCAGGGGCUGGCACACCUUGUCUACUGUGAAGGACUCGGGCAAUGGCAUGGGGUGGCGACAUGUGAAAGCUUCUGUUUUUGCCUCCCAGACCCAUGUCGUCUACUUCCUAGGGAGAUGGCAUCAG
This 5296-nucleotide long non-coding RNA is filed under the name Cricetulus griseus (Chinese hamster). RNAcentral's name for it is "lncRNA (ENSCGRG00015039267.1)". Lineage: Eukaryota; Metazoa; Chordata; Mammalia; Rodentia; Cricetidae. The record is from RNAcentral.